GACGAACGCUGGCGGCGUGCUUAACACAUGCAAGUCGAACGGAAAGGCCCUGCUUGCGGGGUACUCGAGUGGCGAACGGGUGAGUAACACGUGGGUGAUCUGCCCUGCACUUCGGGGUAAGCCUUGGAAACUGGGUCUAAUACCGGAGAGGGGCCAUCUUUAGUGUGAUGGUUGGAAAGUUUUUUCGGUGUAGGAUGGGCUCGCGGCCUAUCUGCUUGUUGGUGGGGUAAUGGCCUACCAAGGCGGCGAAGGGUAGCCGGCCUGAGAGGGUGGACGGCCACCAUGGGACUUGGAUACGGCCCAGACUCCUACGGGAGGCAACAGGGGGGAAUAUUGCACAAUGGGCGCAAGCCUGAUGCAGGGAAGCCGCGUGGGGGAUGAACGCCUUCGGGUUGGAAACUCCUUUCGCUAGGGAAGAAGCUUUUUGUGACGGUACCUAGAUAAGAAGCACCGGCUAACUACGUG
This 465-nucleotide ribosomal RNA is filed under the name uncultured bacterium. Its description in RNAcentral is "partial 16S ribosomal RNA". It matches the Rfam family "Bacterial small subunit ribosomal RNA", at positions 28 to 507 of the family's 1533-position model. The record is from RNAcentral.